GGUACCAUACAAUAGGAAAUUUCGAAUCGUGUCAGGUCCGGAAGGAAGCAGCACUAAGAAAAUCUUUCUAUGUGAUAUGACCUGCCGGG
This 89-nucleotide signal recognition particle RNA is filed under the name bovine gut metagenome. RNAcentral describes it as "Bacterial small signal recognition particle RNA". It matches the Rfam family "Bacterial small signal recognition particle RNA". Rfam says of the family: The signal recognition particle (SRP) is a universally conserved ribonucleoprotein involved in the co-translational targeting of proteins to membranes. Archaeal SRP consists of a 7S RNA and homologues of the eukaryotic SRP19 and SRP54 proteins. The record is from RNAcentral.